GGAAGUAAAAAUCGUAACAAGGUUUCCGUAGGUGAACCUGCGGAAGGAUCAUUAAAGAGAAUAUGCCCUUCGGGGUAGAUCUCCCACCCUUUGUUUAUAUUACCUUUGUUGCUUUGGCAGGCCCGUCUUCGGACCACCGGCUUCGGCUGGUCAGUGCUUGCCAGAGGACCCAAAACUCUUAUUAUUAAUGUCGUCUGAGUACUAUAUAAUAGUUAAAACUUUCAACAACGGAUCUCUUGGUUCUG
Molecule: unclassified non-coding RNA, 245 nt
Filed under: plant metagenome
Description: partial contains small subunit ribosomal RNA, internal transcribed spacer 1, and 5.8S ribosomal RNA
Rfam family: Eukaryotic small subunit ribosomal RNA (bases 1-54)
Source: RNAcentral